AAAUUAAAGUUUAACUUUCUUGUUGUAUCGCAGGUACAAGCUUACAGAAUACACACAAUUUGCCAUUUUAGAAGUGUAUGGAGAGGAGAAAGGGCCUAAGGUGUGGGCUGCAGUCAGUACGUGUCUUCGAGAUUUGUUCGAGGAAUAUAGGAUGAUGUAUGCUCCAAAUGUUGCAUCACCUCUAAGUAGUGCUUCUCAGGAAGUUGAAUCAACUAGAGGGCGUGCAAGCAUGAUGAGAUCCGUGAUUGCCAAAAAAAUGAGGCUGAACAGUGGUGGUAGCAGCAGCAGCAAGUCUGAGCUGGACAAGUUUCUUGCUGAGGAGCCUGAAGAUGAUGGCCCAAAAUUUGACAUAUUAGAUUGGUGGAAGGUUAACUCAUCUAGGUUUCCUAUAUUGGCAUGCUUGGCACGGGAUGUUUUGGCAGUCCCCAUCUCGACUGUUGCAUCCGAGUCUGCGUUCUCUACUGGUGGGCGUAUUCUCGAUGAAUUCAGAUCUUCUCUGACUCCAUUCAUGGUUGAAGCCCUUGUGUGCACUCAGGAUUGGCUUCGAUAUGGUACUCAUGUCAGCAUAGUAGAGAACACUGAAGAAUUGACCAAGCUUGAACAAGAGUUAAUUGCGGAAUAUAAGGAGAAAGUGAAGCUCCAAAGCAAUGCCAAGCCUCCCACCACCGCAAAGCCUACUUAAGGAUUGAUAUUCUUUUUGGUUGGUUGCGGUUCUGAAUAAACUACUGCUAGUCGCUGGAGCAGACGAAAUAAAGCUUGAAGUUUAGAAGUUC
This is a non-coding RNA of Aegilops tauschii subsp. strangulata, 773 nucleotides long. NCBI's taxonomy places the organism in Eukaryota, Viridiplantae, Streptophyta, Magnoliopsida, Poales, Poaceae. The record is from RefSeq and is a predicted model, not a curated record.